CUGCCAGUUCCAUUUCACUAGCUCACUGACUGUAAAUUACUGAUGUCUAGUUUCUUUCCAUUCCACAUGUCUGAUUAAUAAAACUGCAAAUGAUGAAGCCUCGUAUGCAGAGAUAUUUGGCAACAACUGUGUCUGCAUUCUGAAUUCCAUGAUAUGUUGACCCUCUACAGAUGGAAAUUUGAAGUUUCAGGGUAUGGAGUCUGUGCCAAUUGCCAGGCAAUGCCGAACACAGCGCAUGCAGUGUUCAUCCUCAUUGUCAGUGGGAGUGGCUCUCUAUAACUUUAUUAUGCUGGUAUUCUUGUAAAGGCAAUAUCCUACUAUGGCAAGAUGACAAAGCUACUCCCACCAAUCAAAAAGACAGAGGAAAGUUCCAUAUACUAUGCACAGAAGGCACCCCAGCUGAGAAACUGACUGGAAAAUGAUAGACUCCGAGGCAAUGAUGCUAAAAGCCAUAUCACUGACAUUGCUGUUUGGACCAAGGGGUUGAACUAUGUGCCCACAUCAAGAAAUCACAUAGUAUAUGAUGACACAUUCCAGAAUGCAUUUGCUUUUUGUAAGUUGAAAAUAUCUCUGUAAUGUAACACCACUUGAAGUGUUGAGUAUAUGGUUUCAUUUAGAUUAGACAUUCCUGCAGACUUACAUCUAACUUUGAAAUUAGGUGUAUGUAAACAUAAGAAACUUUAACUUUAGAAAGUCACUGUAUUUUGAAAAUAUGACUUCAAAUGAAAGGAACAGCAUUGCAGAA
Long non-coding RNA from Protopterus annectens (West African lungfish), 745 nucleotides. RefSeq lists it as uncharacterized. Lineage: Eukaryota; Metazoa; Chordata; Ceratodontiformes; Protopteridae. The record is from RefSeq and is a predicted model, not a curated record. The transcript has 3 exons.